Molecule: long non-coding RNA, 1372 nt
Organism: Meriones unguiculatus (Mongolian gerbil)
Lineage: Eukaryota; Metazoa; Chordata; Mammalia; Rodentia; Muridae
Exons: 6
Source: RefSeq, a predicted model, not a curated record
CAACUGGCCUGAAUAUACUGUGUUCCUUUCCUGGAGAAGGGGGGAGCAGCCCAGAGGUCCAGUAUACGGCACAGCGUUCAAACAGACACCAUUCCAUAGAUGCCUUUAAAAAUCAGAUUAAAGUUUUCUAACGAGGCUGUGUGGGGUUUUGUUUCUGGACUCCAACUGGGCAAUCUCAGAGAACGGGAUUGUCCCGGAGGAGAAACCCGGAGAACAUUACCAUCAGCUGUCCAUUUAAAGCAGAGGGUGUGUGGUGGGAAGGGGAGGGAAGCCGGAGGCCAGGAGGCCAGGAGGUGUCGCGGCAGGAGAGAAAGGCCGGGGGGACCUGUGUGCACAGCCUUUGCAGACUGCAUGCCCUGCCUCGCCUGCUGGUAACCGGGAGGAACAGCGGCUGCGUACGUCCUCGCCUAGGAUGGUCCAGAAACUCCAGACGUCCUGUCGCCUUCUCACCUCCUCCGCUGAGAGCUGCAGAUCCUUCGCUGACAGACAGGGAGGGAAAUGUGCAAAUGCUGUGGGAAGGCCUAAAGGAGACCAUGAUGUGGAUUCUAGAUAAGGAAAUAGGACACAGGUGCCAUGAAAAGGAGUUCCCUGCUUUGAGAAAACUAAAAUCUAACUGAUUUCAUUGUGGAAACUUCAUUAUGUGGAUGCUCAUUAUCUAUAAAGCUUUCCUGUGUACUGGACAAACAUACCAAGGCCCACAAAUACCAGGGCAAAGGACCCAGAUCUAUCCCCAGUGCAUGGAGUUCAGGAUGAGCAGGGUAGAGAUUCUCAUUGUAAACCCCAAAGAGAAAUCAACCAACUUCUGCUUUCCCAGUGCAGCUCUUACAAGCAAGCUGAAGCUGGAAGAGAAGGACCAGCAGACAUGCAGAUGAAUACAGCUCACUGAGAUCCAGGACCAACCAGGAUACUGACCGUGGCUGUGUAAUUGCCUCGGCACUUCUCAGAUGGACACAGUACUUCUUGCCUUUUGUAGUCUUCAUGGCUGGUCAGAGGGCUCUUAACAGAACUGUGGUCAAGACUUUCUUAAGGAGAAGACAAUUCUGCCACAGGAAAAUGUUAACACACUGGCUUCCCCUCCCCCUUCCUCCAGAUUUCUCAGUAGCAAUGCCAUCUGUACUGGAAGCCAGUUCGAACAGCCUUGGCCCAGAAAAUCAAACCUCGGUUUCGAAAUAAAGCCAAAGAGCUGCUUUUCAGCCAUAUAUCUACAGUUAGAUUCAGGUGAGUUACACAUGAGGUCUCAUGCCUUAGAGCUAACACAUCUCCUCCAUCAUAGCAAUCAAAACGUAUUUGCAGUCACGUGCUCUCCUACGUUAGUGCUCUUGGAUAGAUUUGAAUAACACUGACAGGAAGCACUUAAUUUUCUCACAUUUUC